AGAAACUAACAAGGAUUCCCCCAGUAACGGCGAGUGAAGCGGGAAGAGCUCAAGCUUAAAAUCUCCAUACUUGUAUGGCGAAUUGUAGUCUAUUGAGGCUGUUGUCAGCAUCGCGAUCGGGGACAAGUCCCUUGGAAAAGGGCAGCAUGGAGGGUGAUACUCCCGUCUCUGCUCCGAUUUGCGGUGUGUACGAUACGCUUUCUUUGAGUCGAGUUGUUUGGGAAUACAGCUCAAAGUAGGUGGUAAAUUCCAUCUAAAGCUAAAUAUUGGUGCGAGACCGAUAGCGAACAAGUACCGUGAGGGAAAGAUGAAAAGAACUUUGAAAAGAGAGUUAAAGAGUNCCUGAAACUGUUGAAAGGGAACCGUAUCGUUUCCAGUGUUUUAUCCUGUGCAUAUUUCAUUCGCGGAGCAAUUUGCGGGUGCCCUGUGCAUGGGUGUGACGUCAGAGUCAGUUUGUAUGCUGCGGGAGAUGGUCAGUGAGGAGGUGCGUCACUUCGGUGAAAGUUAUAUCUCGCUGUCUMGUAGCCGUGGUUGAGACUGAGGUGCCUACAACAUGCCUUGGGGUUUCGUGUUGUCUCGUGUUAAUAACUGCUUUGAUAGCUUGCUAUGUCUGUGGUUUAUUGAUGCGAUUGAUGAUGCGGAUAACCUCUGCUGUUCGGGACUCUGGC
This 668-nucleotide ribosomal RNA is filed under the name Saprolegnia torulosa. Its description in RNAcentral is "LSU rRNA". It matches the Rfam family "Eukaryotic large subunit ribosomal RNA", at positions 60 to 630 of the family's 3401-position model. The record is from RNAcentral. Lineage: Eukaryota; Oomycota; Saprolegniomycetes; Saprolegniales; Saprolegniaceae.